RNAcentral lists this ribosomal RNA (253 nucleotides) under uncultured bacterium. Its description in RNAcentral is "partial 16S ribosomal RNA". It matches the Rfam family "Bacterial small subunit ribosomal RNA", at positions 524 to 776 of the family's 1533-position model. The record is from RNAcentral. RNAcentral also lists the same sequence under 1 other name.
UACAGAGGGUGCGAGCGUUAAUCGGAGUUACUGGGCGUAAAGGGCGCGUAGGCGGAUAUAUGAGUGUGAUGUGAAAGCCCCGGGCUUAACCUGGGAAGUGCAUCGCAAACGAUAUAUCUGGAGUAGAUGAGAGGGUGGCGGAAUUUCCGGUGUAGCGGUGAAAUGCGUAGAGAUCGGAAGGAACGUCGAUGGCGAAGGCAGCCACCUGGCAUCAUACUGACGCUGAGGCGCGAAAGCGUGGGGAGCGAACAGG